This 72-nucleotide transfer RNA is filed under the name Camelus bactrianus (Bactrian camel). It matches the Rfam family "tRNA". From Rfam's summary of the family: Transfer RNA (tRNA) molecules are approximately 80 nucleotides in length. The record is from Rfam by way of RNAcentral. Lineage: Eukaryota; Metazoa; Chordata; Mammalia; Artiodactyla; Camelidae. RNAcentral also lists the same sequence under 2 other names.
GUGGGCACAGCUCAGUGGUAGAGCACAUGCUUAGCAUGCAGGAGGUGCUGGGUUCAAUCCCCAGUACCUCCA